This 1158-nucleotide long non-coding RNA is filed under the name Ovis aries (sheep). RNAcentral describes it as "lncRNA (ENSOARG00000026231.1)". The record is from RNAcentral. Lineage: Eukaryota; Metazoa; Chordata; Mammalia; Artiodactyla; Bovidae.
GUUCCAUACUGUAGUACAAAUUUACUCCCAAUAGCAAUAUAUAAAAUAUCCUGCUUAUCCAUAUUCUCAUUACUUUCAGAUUAAAUUAGAUGCCAAACAAAUAAGAUGGCAUUGUGGUGUUGGUUUUUAUGUUCCUAGCCACUACUGAUGAUGAAAAUUCUUUAUAGUUUUUAUCACUGAUCUGGGUUUUCUUUUUUGUGCAAUGUCACUACUUAUCUUUGGCCCACAUUUCUGUCUUACUUUUGAGCUUUUUGUAUCAGCUUGAAGCAUUUACAUCUUCUUGAUGCUGGUGUUUUCUCGGUUGUGUCUUGUGUACGUGCCCUUGUGAAGCACAGGGUGCAGGGGCAGAUUUGAUGUGUCUAGGGAAAUGCUGUGAGAGACAGAAUUAUACCAGAUGGUCACAGGGAGACAGCAGCAUUCAGGGAGAUCAGGGAAGCUUUGUGCGGAAAACAGCAAUGCAGCCUGUGUCUCGGAGUGAGCAGGGGUUAGCAGUGGAAGAGGACACUCUUAAGUGGAGGUGGAGGUGGAGGUGGAGGAGAGCAGCACACGCUGGAAGGGCAGCAGGGCUGGAAGGGAAACAGCUUGUGGGGGUGAAGUGUAGAAGGGUGGUCCUCCAUGGGUUGACCACACCCAACCCUAAACCCAUUUUAAGUGUUGUGCUAUUAAGUGUUGCGGUGUAAGAUCCAUGGGACACCACUGGACUGUCUUGAGUGGGUACUUAACAAUCAACUUGUGUUCUGAAAAGCUGUCUCUGAUUGUAGAGAGUAAGUUGUGAAAAUGUGCUGCCCAGUGGCCCCUGGAUACCACUUAGCAGGCUUUUUUUUUUGUAAUACAGUAAGAAAUGUUCACAGGUUGAACUGUGCUGUUGGAUGGAGAAUGAGAGAAAUGAAUGUAUUAGAGAAAAGCUAAAUGAUGACAUCAACAGGACUUUCUUUAAGAAAGAAAGAAAGUGAAGUCGCUCAGUUGUGUCCGACUCUUUGCGACCCCAUGGACUGUAGCCUACUAGGCUCCUCUGUCCAUGGGAUUUUCCAGGCAAAGGUACUGGAGUGGGUUGCCAUUACUUCUUUAGUAGAAGGUACAUUUGACCCAUCUGAUUCUAGGAUGAGAUCCAAGUUCUACGAUCUCAAAGUGAUUACUAAGAAACUUGUUACAUCAAGC